This 253-nucleotide ribosomal RNA is filed under the name uncultured bacterium. RNAcentral's name for it is "partial 16S ribosomal RNA". It matches the Rfam family "Bacterial small subunit ribosomal RNA", at positions 524 to 776 of the family's 1533-position model. The record is from RNAcentral.
UACGGAGGGUGCAAGCGUUACUCGGAAUCACUGGGCGUAAAGCGCGCGCAGGCGGGUAAAUAAGUUGGAUGUGAAAGCCUACGGCUCAACCGUAGAACUGCAUCCAAAACUGUUUAUCUAGAGUCUGGGAGGGGAAGAUGGAAUUAGUUGUGUAGGGGUAAAAUCCGUAGAGAUAACUAGGAAUACCAAAAGCGAAGGCGAUCUUCUGGAACAGUACUGACGCUGAGGCGCGAAAGCGUGGGGAGCAAACAGG